UACGGUGAUCAUGGCGGAAGGGAAAUACCCGGCCACAUUCCGAACCCGGAAGUCAAGCCUUCCAGCGCCGAUGGUACUGCACACGGGAGUGUGUGGGAGACUAGGACAUCGCCGGAC
Molecule: ribosomal RNA, 117 nt
Filed under: Raineyella fluvialis
Lineage: Bacteria; Bacillati; Actinomycetota; Actinomycetes; Propionibacteriales; Propionibacteriaceae
Also listed under: 1 other name
Source: RNAcentral